RNAcentral lists this ribosomal RNA (486 nucleotides) under uncultured bacterium. RNAcentral's name for it is "partial 16S ribosomal RNA". It matches the Rfam family "Bacterial small subunit ribosomal RNA", at positions 28 to 507 of the family's 1533-position model. The record is from RNAcentral.
GAUGAACGCUGGCGGCGUGCCUAAUACAUGCAAGUCGAACGCUGGAAAUCUAGCUUGCUAGAUUGAAGGAGUGGCGAACGGGUGAGUAAUACAUAAGCAACCUACCCACGAAGACUGGGAUAAUCUCUGGAAACGGGGACUAAUACCGGAUAGGUAAUCGGAAGGCAUCUUCUGAUUAUUAAAGGUGAAAAACACUGGUGGAUGGGCUUAUGGCGCAUUAGUUGGUUGGUGAGGUCACGGCGCACCGAGACGGUGAUGCGUAGCCGGGCUGAGAGGGUGAAACGCCACAUUGGGACUGAGACACGGACCAGACUGCUACGGGAGGCAGCAGUAGGGAAUUUUCGGCAAUGGGGGAAACCCUGACCGAGCCACGCCGCGUGAGUGAUGACGGCCUUCGGGUUGUAAAGCUCUGUUGUAAGGGAAGAACGGUAGAUAGAGAAUAUCUAAAUGACGGUACCUUACCAGAAAGCCACGGCUAACUACGUG